GCCCGAUUAACUCAGUUGGUUAGAGUGUUGUGCUAAUAACGCAAAAGUCACAGGUUCGAGCCCUGUAUCGGGCA
This is a transfer RNA of Pneumocystis jirovecii, 74 nucleotides long. It matches the Rfam family "tRNA". Rfam says of the family: Transfer RNA (tRNA) molecules are approximately 80 nucleotides in length. Their secondary structure includes four short double-helical elements and three loops (D, anti-codon, and T loops). Lineage: Eukaryota; Fungi; Ascomycota; Pneumocystomycetes; Pneumocystales; Pneumocystaceae. The record is from Rfam.